This 253-nucleotide ribosomal RNA is filed under the name uncultured bacterium. RNAcentral describes it as "partial 16S ribosomal RNA". It matches the Rfam family "Bacterial small subunit ribosomal RNA", at positions 524 to 776 of the family's 1533-position model. The record is from RNAcentral.
UACGUAGGGACCAAGCGUUGUUCGGAUUUACUGGGCGUAAAGGGCGCGUAGGCGGCGCGGUAAGUCACUUGUGAAAUCUCUGAGCUUAACUCAGAACGGCCAAGUGAUACUGCAGUGCUAGAGUGUGGAAGGGGCAAUCGGAAUUCUUGGUGUAGCGGUGAAAUGCGUAGAUAUCAAGAGGAACACCUGCGGCGAAGGCGGGUUGCUGGGCCGACACUGACGCUGAGGCGCGAAAGCUAGGGGAGCGAACGGG